UUUUCUUAGGAACCGUCUUAAGAACAUAUUUAAGAGAAAACUUCGGAAGAUAUUGGUGAAUGAGGCCCAUUGUUCCCGGUAACGAGGUUUCAGUGCUGCCCGAUGCUCCAGAAGUUCCAUCAAUUCCAGAAAACGAGGAAAAUGUUGAGCCAUCUGUAGACUUCAGAGCUGAACCAGGUUUCUCCCCAGUAAUCCAGAUUCCACUUCACAGAGCCAAGAGUUUGAGUACAACUCGUCAAGUACUAAGCUUUACAACCCCAGCAGCAAAUUUACCCUGGCAACAUAUGGGUGAAAACCGCCCUUGGACGCCCCUGGCAUCUCGUGUACAGCAUGAGCUUUUCAGCUAUGAAGAUUUCCAGUGACUCCAAAAUGAAAACAAAGCUCUGAGGGAGGAGAACCAAGCUCUGAGGGAUAGCAAUGCACGAGCAGCUUCGGAUGACAGCGGCUCCCUUCAAGAGCAGGUGAAGCAAGUUGGGACAAUGCUGAAGAUGUUUUCUCGAACUGGGCAAUCAGGUGCAGAUCAGACCCUACUGCUGCGACGUCUUGUACAUAGCAUGGACAACAAAAUGGACACAAUGCUGCAACAUUUCAGUGCCAGUGUUACUGUUGGAGAGUUAUCCCUGCCAGGGGAUCUGUUACUCCCCCUAGACACCCAGGAAGAUUUGGCGUGGAUAGACAACAGUUUGAGGCAGGAUAAAGAGCUCCAGGAAAGAUUUGGGCCAUCCGGAAGAACCCGGCAACCCAGGAUCCCAACGAUGAGGCGGUCCAGGUUAAUGUUACGCGUUACCUGAAAGGAGCAUCUGACUGUGAGGGCGGAAAAAGGCGCCGCACAGCUGAGAGGGAGCCAGCUGUCACCCUGGGUGUUGUGUGAGAAGAGAGGAAGAAGGAAAAGGACUGCUAACUUUAGUGUGGGGAGAUGUCACGGGGCGGAAGUAGAUUUUAUUUAUUUACUUUAUUUAAGCAUGCUUUUACUUUAUUUGCUGUAUCUUUUAUAUUGCAUGCUUUUACUUUAUUUGCUGCAUCUUUUAAAUUGCAUGCUUUUAUUUUGAAAAGGUGUGGUGUGUUUUUAAUGUUUGCUUUACUUCUGCCAGUGAACAUUUUAGUAAUCAGGACUUAAGAACUUGCACCUGGGAGCCAGAGAUAGGUUGAUUGGUUUUUAGAUAAAAAGGGCAGAACAGAAGCAGCAAAGAAGCACAUGAUGGAAGCCACUGAGAGCAAAGAAGUACAAGAGACCAACAGGAGAACACGAAGGAGGACGUGGAGAGUGAGACCACCACAGACGGAACAGUACAGACAGACGACCCCCCAAACACCGAUCGCUAGCGGCAACAGUGGGAGAAGGUAAAACUUCUCCCUUCCGUGCUAUGCCCCAGGAGAGGAGCCAAACGUCAAAGAAGCUGGUUGCCAGCAGAGGCCUGUGGACAUUUGAAUCUCGCACUCCUUUUCUGUUGGACUAUUUUUAGCUUGAUUUUUAGUUGGUUGUGUUUUAGUUUUGUAAUUCUGAGGAAUUUUAAUUGGUUUAUUUUUUUAAUAAAUUUGUUUUUCCUCAACUGUUAUUUAAAUACACUUGUUUUAACUGCUCUCCCGGUAGUCUUAAAUUGGAAUUGUUGUAAUUUUAAGAGGUCCUAGGCUUCACUAAAAACCUAGGUGGCGUUGUCGGCCCCAACACAAUUUAUAUAUAUAUUUAUAUCCAACCUAAUCUUACACUAACUACCUAACUAUAUGUAUGUAUGUGUGUAUGUUUUGUUUAUCACUGAUACAAGAGACACAGAUCUCAUUGAAGCACAGUGUAAAUCUUGUACCCCAGGUCAGCAAUGCCAUUAUAAUGGUCUUUUCUACUCCAGAGCUUUACUCUAAAUUAUUACCACUUAUCCUAUUGUUAGAAAUGGCUUUUUUUAAAUACCUCGAUUUAUUUGGUAUCGUGCACAUUCUUUGGCACCAAAUAUCCUCAUUACUUGUUAUGUUUACUGGUUUAUUCUUUUCAUCCCAGAGCUGACCUUUUAUAUUAUCAACAAUUAUUGUAAGAGUUAUAAUUUGCUUGUAAGGCUGUUACUAUAGCCUACUUUGAA
Long non-coding RNA from Perca flavescens (yellow perch), 2069 nucleotides. RefSeq lists it as uncharacterized. The transcript is spliced from 8 exons. The record is from RefSeq and is a predicted model, not a curated record. NCBI's taxonomy places the organism in Eukaryota, Metazoa, Chordata, Actinopteri, Perciformes, Percidae.